UCGAUCCGUGUGCGGGAAAACCGCACGCGCGGUUCGGAGGGAGGGGUGGGUUCAAACCCGUCCCUACCCCAU
RNAcentral lists this non-coding RNA (72 nucleotides) under Candidatus Kentrum sp. LFY. Lineage: Bacteria; Pseudomonadati; Pseudomonadota; Gammaproteobacteria. The record is from RNAcentral.